GAUGAAGAACGUAGCGAAAUGCGAUAAGUAAUGUGAAUUGCAGAAUUCAGUGAAUCAUCGAAUCUUUGAACGCACCUUGCACCCUUUGGUAUUCCGAAGGGUAUGCUCGUUUGAGUGUCAUUGUACUCUCACACUUCUAAUUCCUUUCGGGAUUGGGAGCGGUGGACUUGGGUGUUGCUGCUUUAGUUGUGGCUCACCUCAAAUAAGUUAGUGCAACUCUUGGUUGGACAUAGUACGGCGUGAUAAGUGUCUUCGCCGGCGCCUCUGUAAGGAGGGUGGCCGAUCGGGNNNNCUGUGCUUCAAACCGUCUUCGGACAAUCUUUGACAACUUGACCUCAAAUCGAGUAGGACUACCCGCUGAACUUAAGCAUAUCAAUAAGCGGAGGA
This 387-nucleotide unclassified non-coding RNA is filed under the name soil metagenome. RNAcentral describes it as "partial contains 5.8S ribosomal RNA, internal transcribed spacer 2, and large subunit ribosomal RNA". The stretch from base 1 to 120 matches the Rfam family "5.8S ribosomal RNA", at positions 35 to 154 of the family's 154-position model. The record is from RNAcentral.